RNAcentral lists this long non-coding RNA (2980 nucleotides) under Sus scrofa (pig). Its description in RNAcentral is "lncRNA (ENSSSCG00030052515.1)". The record is from RNAcentral. Lineage: Eukaryota; Metazoa; Chordata; Mammalia; Artiodactyla; Suidae.
UAAACUAACGAAGAAGACUCUAAGUUUUCAGGAAUGUUCCAUGGUCAAUAUCAUUGCAAAAGUCAACAAGAAAUGGAGUAUUAUUCUGUAGAAGAUGCAGCAGUUCCUCUUUAAAUAGUUACUCAUUACUUAUUUUGCUGUGGAACAAAAACAUUGGGUGGAAUUCCCAUUACUAGAAACAUUGUUAACCUUUUGCAGCAGAUCAGCCAUAUUUAGCAGUUGCUGUUCCUGUUUUCAGCUAGUUCCACAGAAUGAGUUAAUAAAAUGUCAUUACUAUUUGAAGGGUAUUGGACUUGGAGGCAAGAACAGCAGAGAUAAGUGAAUGUGUAUGUUUAAGGCUCUUAAUUAUGAAAUCAUUGGUAAAACUAAUCAGGACUUAGACCAAAAGAGAACCAGAAUAUUAUUGUUUUAGCACCUAUGAGGAGUCACAUAGAAAAAAAAAAAAGCUAGAAAUGAAUAAUGUUGUUACUAUCAAAUUAAAAAUAUUAACUGAAAAAAAAUUUUAAAUAUAUCAAAGUAGAAAGAAAUCAUUAAAGGACAACUGUGGUUAGAUGGUAGUCACCAAUUUUUAAUUUUUAUUAUCUUCUUAGUUGUAAUCAUACUCUAUAUGUUUGUAUCCUGUUUUAUAAUUUAAUACUUCAAUGAAAAAUAGCCAACAUUCUGGCUCUUCUCAACCUAUUAAAGUUAAGUAAUUCAUAGCUUUAAAAAUACAUCUCGGAGUUCCUGUCGUGACGCAGGGGAAAUGAAUCUGACUUGGAACCAUGAGGUUGCAGGUUCGAUCCCUGGCCUUGCUCAGGUUAAGGAUCCAGCGCUGUCGUGAGCUGUGGUGUAGGUCACAGACACAGCUCGGAUCCCGCGUUGCUGUGGCUCUGGAGUGGGCCAGUGGCUACAGCUCCGAUUAGACCCCUAGCCUGGGAACCUCCAUAUGCUGCGGGUGUGGCCCUAAAAGGACAAAAAGACAAAAAAAUUUAAAAAUACAUCUCAAAACUACACUGUAGAAAAUAUUAAAAGCAUAUAUACAAAAGCAAAGUAUAACUAGAGAAUAACUAGGACAUAAAAUUAUUGAAAUUUUCUGGUGUGUGUGAUUGCUUAGGCUGUCAUGAAGCAAAAUAUGUAAUUAUCUGAGUGUUUUCACUUGAACAUGGUAUUCUAUACAGGUAGAUCAGUUGCAGAAGUUUAUUUUGGAGCUUGAAUUGUCUGGAUUUUCUUACUACCUUGAUUUUCUAUAAAUGUCUAUAGUGUUUACAAUGGUACACACACAAAACACACACAGAAAUGUGUAAACACAGUGUCAAGCCCAAGAUCAGCCCAAGACCACUGGCAACACCCCUGCAGUUGAACAAGGAGGCCUUGUCACUUGUUGCAGGCGGGAGAACACAGGCCAUGAGAAAUCAGGGUGUCCAGUAAGAGGGCGCUGGGAGGAAGCUUUGGAGGGCUGGGCUGUGGCUGGGUGACUUAAGGAGGGUCUAAGGAAGCAGAGAUCCACUCGAGACUGGGUGCCAUACUGUUAGAAAGUAGCACAAGACCAAAAAAAAAGUCGUGGCUCAGUGGGAUCUAACCCAACUAGUAUCUAUGAGGACAUGGGUUCGAUCCCUGGCCUCGCUCAGUGGGUUAAGGAUCUGGCAUUGCGGUGAGCUAUGGUGUAGCUUUAGUUCAUUGUUUCUGACUGCUCCAUAGUCCAUGUAGAGUAUACACUGCAGCAUCUUUUAGAAUAACGGUUUGAAAUAAACUUAGUAUUGCACACGAGGGCAUGGUCACGUAACCUUGGCACAUGAGCAGUGUGAAAUAGCACGUCUCCAGUCAUAGUUCUGCAUGACAUGGGAAACUUGUUUACAGCAACGUUAAGGGAGAGAAGCAGGCAAAAUUGUUUCUGCACUGUGAAAACAACCACAUGAAAACACACAUGAAAACAGCCGGUGGCUGGAAAAGAUCACAGAACGACAAAAACAGCUCUAGAGCAAUAUACCGACCUGUUGCCUGCCCCGGGGCUGGCAUCUGGGUCUUCCUCCUCAACGGUCCUCUCUGCCAGGUGUGGCCUGCAGUCAACUUACUUAGCUGCAUUUCACCCCCCUCAUGGGAAAUGGGAUUGAAAUUAAAAAAACCCUUCAGAAGGCUGAGAUAGAUCUAGUGCUGCUGAAUUUAACUAUCUUCAAGAUUUAAACCAAAAACCCUAAGUGCAUUAAAGUUAUGUAUACUCAUAAUGCAUGCAUAUUCAGAUAUAUAUGUGUAUGUAGGAGUAUAUAUAUGUCUAUACGUGUAUAGACAUAUAUAUACACAUACAUAUAUCUUUUGCAUUUUAAUUAACAUUAUAAAGGGAAAUGUUUCUGUUUUUGAAUAUCUUUUGAAGAAAAAUAAAUAUACCCCAAAUACCAUUUGUGCAAAAAAAGAAAAAAGAGAGACAUGAACUUGUGAAUGGCAAGAUCCUGUUAGAAUAGACAGACUUAACAGUAAUUGCCCCUGGGGAAGAGGGCUGGAGAUCUGGGUUAUUAGCAGGGAGUCAUACUUUUCUUUAAAGUAUGAGACAGAUGUUUAUUACCACCUUUUCUAAAACCGUGUACAAUUAAAAUUUUAUUUUAAAAGUUUAAAUCUUCAAAUUUCAUGACUCUAACUUUUUAAAUAACGCUUUUAAAAUGUCUUAACACAUUGCAAAUUGUCUUUCAAAGCAGAUGCAUAUUUUGAGCCUCAAAUUGUGCACCUCUUCGUAGUGACAAGGACUAACCCCAAGUUGAGGACUGCUUUACCUGUGUCACGAAGCACACAGCACACUAGAUUCGGGCAUUACUUCCAACGCAGGAUGCAAAUAAUAAUCAAGGUACGAUGACCAGAGUAGCAUUAGGAUUUGGACGUGGAUUCGCUCCAGGCUUUCCCUUCUGCCAGGUGUGUGCGAGUCCACCAGCCUUGGGGUCCCCACUCCCCCACUGGGAAGACCCUGGGCCGCUGCACGCAGAGACCCGGCGCCCCGGGCUGAAGCGAUCCGCCC